CCUACGGGUGGCAGCAGUGGGGGAUAUUGCACAAUGGGGGAAACCCUGAUGCAGCGACGCCGCGUGAGUGAAGAAGUAUUUCGGUAUGUAAAGCUCUAUCAGCAGGGAAGAAAAUGACAGUACCUGACCAAGAAGCAGCGGCUAACUACGUGACAGCAGCCGCGGUAACACGUAGGGAGCAAGCGUUAUACGGAUUUACUGGGUGUAAAGGGAGCGUAGACGGUUAUGUAAGUCUGGAGGGAAAGCACUGGGCCCCACCCCGGGACUGCUUUGGAAACUGUGUAACUGGAGUACAGGAGGGGCAGGCGGAAUUCCUGGUGUAGCGGUGAAAUGUGUAGAUAUCAGGAGGAACCCCGGCGGCGAAGGCGGCCUGCUGGACUGAAACUGACGUUGAGGCUCGAAAGCGUGGGGAGCAAACAGGAUUAGAUACCCCUGUAGUC
Molecule: ribosomal RNA, 440 nt
Filed under: uncultured bacterium
Lineage: Bacteria
Description: partial 16S ribosomal RNA
Rfam family: Bacterial small subunit ribosomal RNA
Source: RNAcentral